Molecule: ribosomal RNA, 393 nt
Filed under: uncultured bacterium
Lineage: Bacteria
Description: bacterial SSU rRNA
Rfam family: Bacterial small subunit ribosomal RNA
Source: RNAcentral
GACGAACGCUGGCGGCGUGCUUAACACAUGCAAGUCGAGCGGUAAGGCCCUUUCGGGGGUACACGAGCGGCGAACGGGUGAGUAACACGUGGGUGACCUGCCCUCAGCUCUGGGAUAAGCCUGGGAAACUGGGUCUAAUACUGGAUAUGACUCCACGGUGCAUGUCGUGGGGUGAAAGCCUUGUGCGGCUGAGGAUGGGCCCGCGGCCUAUCAGCUUGUUGGUGGGGUGANGGCCUACCAAGGCGACGACGGGUAGCCGGCCUGAGAGGGCGACCGGCCACACUGGGACUGGAGACACGGCCCAGACGUCCUACGGGAGGCAGGCAGUGGGGGAAUCUUGCGCAAUGGGCGAAAGCCUGGACGCAGCGACGCCGCGUGAGGGAUGACGGGCCU